RNAcentral lists this ribosomal RNA (715 nucleotides) under uncultured bacterium. RNAcentral's name for it is "partial 16S ribosomal RNA". It matches the Rfam family "Bacterial small subunit ribosomal RNA", at positions 65 to 786 of the family's 1533-position model. The record is from RNAcentral.
UAUGAAGGGGCUGGUUUUGCUGGUCCUGGAUGAGUGGCGAACGGGUGAGUAACACGUGAGUAACCUGCCCCCUUCUUCUGGAUAACCGCAUGAAAGUGUGGCUAAUACGGGAUAUUCUGGGUCUGUCGCAUGGUGGGUCUGGGAAAGGUUUUUUCCGGGGGGGGAUGGGCUCGCGGCCUAUCAGCUUGUUGGGGGGGGGAUGGCCUACCAAGGCGGGGGACGGGUAGCCGGCCUGAGAGGGUGGACGGUCACCACUGGGACUGAAACCACGGCCCAAACUUCCUACGGGGAGGCAGCAGUGGGGAAUUAUUGGCCCAAUGGGGCGGCAAGCCUGGAUGCAACCGACCCCCCCGUGAGAGGAAUGACCGGCCUUCCGGGUUGUAAAACCUUCUGUGUAACAAGGAAAAAAAAAAAUUUGCAGGUUCCUUGCAAAAAAAGGGCGCCGCUAAUACAGGGGCAGCAGGCGGGGUUUUACAAAAAGCCCAACACUUUUCUCGAAUUAUUUGGGGUGAAAAGCUUUAAACCCUUUUGCCGUUCCGUUGAAAAACCCAACCUAAACUCCGUUUUUGCAGUGGUACGGCAGACUAAAUGCAGUAGGGAGACUGGAAUUCUGGUGUUACGGUGGAAUGCGCAAAAUUAGGAGGACACGAUGGGAAGCAGGCUCUGGGCUGUACUGACGCUGAAAACGAAACAUGGGGAGCAACAGGAUAAAACC